Molecule: long non-coding RNA, 1861 nt
Organism: Anguilla rostrata (American eel)
Lineage: Eukaryota; Metazoa; Chordata; Actinopteri; Anguilliformes; Anguillidae
Exons: 2
Source: RefSeq, a predicted model, not a curated record
AAUAAAAUUUGUGAAAUGGGCGGAGUCAGGCAUUAAGCUGGUGUUGCUGUACACUUUAAUAAUGAUUCAUGUACUGUUUGAUUUAAAGCCAUGGUUGCAGUGUCAGAUAAUAUCUAGCCUCACCCCUCCUUAAUGCUGAAGACAUUCAUUAAUGUUUAAUCGGUUGAGAAAAUCAGCUCAAACAGGCAGAGUAUCAAAAGCAACGUCACUGCUUCUGAGCUCAAAUUGACGUAGUGGCUGUUCGGCCAUUUCCGUGGAUGUCCUGCACGUUGACGUAAAUGCCCUAUCAAAAAUAGCAACCCGCCUGGCCUGUCUUAAAGUCUGUACGGUUGUGGGGCCCUUCUGGAAGAGGAGGGGGAAAAAAAGAGGCCCGUCCCUGCUUGUGGAAAAAGUACGUCUCUUUCUUCGCUGCCUGUCAAAGCGGCGCUGUUCGGCAGCGUUUUCCCACGGUGCUCCUGUCAGCCAGCCCUGCACUGCUGGCUGCCAGGCUCGGCUCCCUGCACUUUAAACACUUCCUCUGCCGCGUGUGUAGUGACACCAUCCUUAACGGGAGAGAGCUCCGGUGAAAGAAAUCCCCGAGCAAACCAGCAUCCCCUGAAAGAAGUACGCUUGCGGGGAGGGGUUAGGCGAUGCCAGAACUCUCCAAGGUCUCUGGCAAGGCCUGGAGCAUCAAGAGUUCAAUUCACAGAAAGAAGAGCAGGUUGUGUGCGUGUUGCCUUGGAAACGGGGAACUCAGGGAUAAACGAGGACCUCAGAAGUCUGCCCCUAAUGAUAUCCAGCCCCAGAGAGAGAGAGAGAGCGGUUGAUGCUGAACUCCACAUGCAUGCGUCUUAAUAAACUGAUCAUCGAUUGGAUCACUGUGUGGGACCGGUCUCCUGACUCUCCUCAGUAACUGAAGCUCCUGAGGUGGAAAUUUUCCUGUCAAAAUGGCCUAAUCUGAUGAUUGUCAGAGCGUGACGAAGGUUAAAAAGAGAAAAUCUCAGAAAGGAACCAACCCAGCCUGUGAGGAGCCUCAAUACUGUCCAACAAUUUCAAGUGCAAUUUUAGUAAAAGUGAACACACACAGCCUACAUAAAGUGAAAGUCACUCAAGAUAUAAUUUGAACUGGCCAAUGAACUUCAAAAGGGACACGUGCAAGUUUCUAAACUGAUCUGUGAUUCCAGGAAUGCACAUCAGUACCCUAUAUUGCUCAUUUUUAGAGGAUAGAUUCAAACAGACUUUUUUGGUAGAUUGUAUAUUAAUCACUGCUUUUUAAAAAAAAUAAGAACCAAGAUAUUGUAGAGAAAAAGGUGCCCCGGUGGACAGAUAUUCAUUUUGAAUCAAAUAAACUCAAUCAAAAGUUUCAUAAAAUGUUGACAGAUGGCAUCCAUGUGCAACAUGCUUGAUCAACAGUUUCUAGAAUCUGAGUUUGUAUUCCUAUAGAACAGGGGUAACUAACCCUGUUCCUGGGGAUCUACCAUCCUUUUGGUUUUCAUUUCAGCCCUAAUUUGGCACACCUGACUCCACUAAUUAACAGCUCAACAAGAUCUCUAGCCGUUGAAAGAGGUGUGUUUUGUUAGGGUUGGAAUGAAAACGUACAGGACACUAGAUCUCCAGAAAUAGGGUUGGUUACCACUGCUAUAGAGUAAAAAAAACCACACUCACAGUGGCACCUUGUUUACUUGUAUGAAAAGCAGCAUUUAAAAACAAUCUUUCACAAGGAGGGAGAGGAGAAACUGCCCAACACUGUGGUCCUGGGGGAGACUGCUGGCCUUUCAUGCCAAUUGCAGCUGUAACGUUGCAAUGCAUACCAGACACAAGCUUUAUUUUCGUUUUGUCCUUUUUGGUUGUUCUUUGGAAUAAAUUACAGUUGAGAAAAUGA